This 971-nucleotide ribosomal RNA is filed under the name Psychrobacter sp. Its description in RNAcentral is "bacterial SSU rRNA". It matches the Rfam family "Bacterial small subunit ribosomal RNA", at positions 72 to 1043 of the family's 1533-position model. Lineage: Bacteria; Pseudomonadati; Pseudomonadota; Gammaproteobacteria; Moraxellales; Moraxellaceae. The record is from RNAcentral.
UAGCUUGCUAUCAGGCGUCGAGCGGCGGACGGGUGAGUAAUACUUAGGAAUCUACCUAGUAGUGGGGGAUAGCACGGGGAAACUCGUAUUAAUACCGCAUACGACCUACGGGAGAAAGGGGGCAGUUUACUGCUCUCGCUAUUAGAUGAGCCUAAGUCGGAUUAGCUAGAUGGUGGGGUAAAGGCCUACCAUGGCGACGAUCUGUAGCUGGUCUGAGAGGAUGAUCAGCCACACCGGGACUGAGACACGGCCCGGACUCCUACGGGAGGCAGCAGUGGGGAAUAUUGGACAAUGGGGGAAACCCUGAUCCAGCCAUGCCGCGUGUGUGAAGAAGGCCUUUUGGUUGUAAAGCACUUUAAGCAGUGAAGAAGACUCCGUGGUUAAUACCCACGGACGAUGACAUUAGCUGCAGAAUAAGCACCGGCUAACUCUGUGCCAGCAGCCGCGGUAAUACAGAGGGUGCAAGCGUUAAUCGGAAUUACUGGGCGUAAAGGGAGCGUAGGUGGCUCGAUAAGUCAGAUGUGAAAUCCCCGGGCUCAACCUGGGAACUGCAUCUGAUACUGUUGAGCUAGAGUAUGUGAGAGGAAGGUAGAAUUCCAGGUGUAGCGGUGAAAUGCGUAGAGAUCUGGAGGAAUACCGAUGGCGAAGGCAGCCUUCUGGCAUAAUACUGACACUGAGGCUCGAAAGCGUGGGUAGCAAACAGGAUUAGAUACCCUGGUAGUCCACGCCGUAAACGAUGUCUACUAGUCGUUGGGUCCCUUGAGGACUUAGUGACGCAGCUAACGCAAUAAGUAGACCGCCUGGGGAGUACGGCCGCAAGGUUAAAACUCAAAUGAAUUGACGGGGGCCCGCACAAGCGGUGGAGCAUGUGGUUUAAUUCGAUGCAACGCGAAGAACCUUACCUGGUCUUGACAUAUCUAGAAUCCUGCAGAGAUGCGGGAGUGCCUUCGGGAAUUAGAAUACAGGUGCUG